AUUGAACGCUGGCGGCAGGCCUAACACAUGCAAGUCGAGCGGGGUUUUCGGACCUAGCGGCGGACGGGUGAGUAAUGCGUAGGAAGCUACCCGAUAGAGGGGGAUACCAGUUGGAAACGACUGUUAAUACCGCAUAAUGUCUACGGACCAAAGUGUGGGACCUUCGGGCCACAUGCUAUCGGAUGCGCCUACGUGGGAUUAGCUAGUUGGUGAGGUAAUGGCUCACCAAGGCGACGAUCUCUAGCUGGUUUGAGAGGAUGAUCAGCCACACUGGAACUGAGACACGGUCCAGACUCCUACGGAGGCAGCAGUGGGGAAUAUUGGACAAUGGGCGCAAGCCUGAUCCAGCCAUGCCGCGUGUGUGAAGAAGGCCUCGGUGUAAGACGACUUCUAGCGAGGAGG
RNAcentral lists this ribosomal RNA (402 nucleotides) under uncultured bacterium. RNAcentral's name for it is "bacterial SSU rRNA". It matches the Rfam family "Bacterial small subunit ribosomal RNA", at positions 30 to 447 of the family's 1533-position model. The record is from RNAcentral.